GACGAACGCUGGCGGCGUGCUUAACACAUGCAAGUCGAACGGAAAGGCCCCUUUGGGGGUACUCGAGUGGCGAACGGGUGCGUAACACGUGAGUAACCUGCCCUUGACUUCGGGAUAACUUCAGGAAACUGGGGCUAAUACCGGAUAGGAAUCCUUGCUGCAUGGUGGGGGUUGGAAAGCUUCGGCGGUUUUGGAUGGACUCGCGGCUUAUCAGCUUGUUGGUGGGGUAGUGGCUUACCAAGGCUUUGACGGGUAGCCGGCCUGAGAGGGCGACCGGCCACAGUGGGACUGAGAUACGGCCCAGACUCCUACGGGAGGCAGCAGUGGGGAAUAUUGCACAAUGGGCGGAAGCCUGAUGCAGCAACGCCGCGUGCGGGAUGACGGCCUUCGGGUUGGAAACCGCUUUCAGCAGGGGCGAAGCUUGUGGUGACGGUACCUGCAGAAGAAGCACCGGCUAACUACGUG
RNAcentral lists this ribosomal RNA (465 nucleotides) under uncultured bacterium. RNAcentral's name for it is "partial 16S ribosomal RNA". It matches the Rfam family "Bacterial small subunit ribosomal RNA", at positions 28 to 507 of the family's 1533-position model. The record is from RNAcentral.